CAAGAUGUUCGCAUGUUGCUUUCUGAGGUCUGGAGGCAGCAGGUGGAAGAAAGCGCGCCCUGCAGACGCUGUCCCCCGCUGGGGAUUUCAUGUCAGGGCUCCCCACCGCUGCUGGCCAUUUGGCCGGAAGGACAGAAAGAAGGCCACGGAGGACAUGGAGAGGAGGCUGCUGGACACGCCCUCCAUCUCCUCAACAGAGGCCCCAGAAGCAGGUGCUGGGGAUUGUAGGGGAAGACCUCCUACACCACCCAGACCACUGUCUCAGUGGUCCAGGAGCCGGAGUCCACGGAGGCCAAGGCCGAGGCUGCUCCACCACCUGAGGAGCUAGAGCUGGAUCUGAGGGGAGGGCUGGUGCCUGCAGUGACUUCAGGAGGAGACCAGGAGCCGGCAGGUGACCCGGCAUCUGCCCACGGAGAGCCUGGAGCUGUCCAGAAAGAACUGGCACCUGCUCCUGCACCAGCCCCUGCCCCUGCCCCUGCUACAGUUCCUGCCACUUCCCCUUCCCCCACCCC
Long non-coding RNA from Zalophus californianus (California sea lion), 512 nucleotides. RefSeq lists it as uncharacterized. The transcript has 3 exons. The record is from RefSeq and is a predicted model, not a curated record. NCBI's taxonomy places the organism in Eukaryota, Metazoa, Chordata, Mammalia, Carnivora, Otariidae.